Molecule: unclassified non-coding RNA, 2775 nt
Filed under: Ooceraea biroi (clonal raider ant)
Lineage: Eukaryota; Metazoa; Arthropoda; Insecta; Hymenoptera; Formicidae
Description: general transcription and DNA repair factor IIH helicase subunit XPD, transcript variant X4
Source: RNAcentral
UUUGUGAGAACGGGCCAUAACCUCAUGGAUCGUUCCGCAGAGAGCAUCACGGUGCAUUCUAUUUGUAUUUUUGUUAUAUUUCCUCGCUUGUUGGUAAAACUUUUGUCAUGAUUAAAUAUAAUCUAAUGCUUUAAAGCACUUUAAAGUAUCACAGUCUUAUUAAAUACCUUUUUUAUUAAUAUAAAGAAUUUAAAAAGACAUACUGUUUGUAAACAUAUAUGCACGUGACAACACAAACGAUAAUAUGAAGAUAACAGUUGACGGAUUAAUUGUAUAUUUUCCAUAUGAUUACAUUUAUCCAGAGCAAUAUGCAUAUAUGCUUGAGCUCAAGCGUGGAUUGGAUGCCAAGGGACAUUGUAUGUUAGAAAUGCCUUCGGGCACUGGCAAGACGAUAACUUUGCUGUCGCUUAUUGUAGCAUAUAUGUUGGCACAUCCACUCGAUGUCACAAAACUGAUUUAUUGUUCCCGAACAGUGCCAGAAAUAGAGAAGGUUAUACAGGAAUUAAAAAAUCUCAUAGACUAUUAUGAGGAAGAAACCAAAAGCAAAUCAAAUGUUAUUGGUUUAGUCCUUAGCUCACGUAAAAAUAUGUGCAUUCAUCCAGAGGUCAGUAAAGAACGAGAGGGCAAAAUUGUGGAUGGUCGAUGUCACUCUCUUACCGCGUCAUACGUACGAGAGAGACACAAUUAUGACGAAUCCACGCCAAUUUGUACUUUUUAUGAAGCAUUUGAUAUGGAAGGUAAAGAACAAAUUAUUCCUCCUGGUAUUUAUUCCAUCGAUGAUUUGAAAGACUAUGGGAAGGACCGUAACUGGUGUCCGUAUUUUCUCGCGAGAUACACAAUUUUACAUGCACAUAUUGUAGUAUACAGUUAUCAUUAUCUGCUAGAUCCAAAGAUUGCAGAAAUGGUGUCUAAAGAGCUAAGCAAGAGUUCUGUAGUUGUGUUUGAUGAGGCUCAUAACAUUGAUAAUGUCUGUAUUGAUUCGAUGAGUGUCAAGAUAAAUAGGAAACUGAUGGAGAGAAGUUCAGCCAAUAUACAACUCUUGGAGAAAACCGUAGCUGAAAUGAGGGAUGACGAUUCAAACAGAUUAAAGGAAGAAUACGACAGAUUGGUCGCGGGAUUGAAAGAUGCUCAGUUACAAAGGGAAACCGAUGUUAUCUUGGCUAAUCCUAUUCUACCGAAUGAAAUACUCGAAGAAGCUGUUCCGGGUAACAUAAGGAAUGCCGAGCAUUUCAUUGGUUUUUUGAAACGAUUCGUCGAGUACCUGAAGACUCGUUUACGUGUCCAACACGUUGUGCAAGAGUCACCCGCCGCAUUUUUACGAGAUAUCCAAACAAAAGUCGCUAUUGAUCGUAAACCGUUGCGAUUUUGCGCGACAAGAUUGGCGUCCCUGCUACGCACCAUGGAAAUAAUAGAUCUAACGGAUUUCUCUCCGAUAAUUUUGGUGACGCACCUUGCGACAUUGGUUUCGACAUACACGCACGGCUUUACAAUCAUAGUAGAGCCGUUUGACGAUAAAACGCCAACAAUUUUGAAUCCAAUUUUAUAUUUUACCUGCCUGGAUUCCUCAAUCGCCAUCAAGCCAAUUUUCGAUAGAUUUCAAUCUGUAGUAAUUACUUCUGGGACGCUAUCUCCAUUGGAUAUGUAUCCGAAAAUUCUCAAUUUUAAACCGGUCAUAAUGUCGUCGUUUACAAUGACAUUGGCUAGACCGUGCCUCUUGCCCAUGGUCGUCGCCAAAGGCAAUGAUCAAGUGGCCAUCUCAUCGAAAUAUGAGACACGAGAAGAUGUGGCUGUUAUAAGAAAUUAUGGUCAAUUGUUGGUCGAAUUUGCCGCAACAGUUCCCGAUGGUUUAGUCUGCUUUUUCACGUCGUAUCUCUACAUGGAAUCUGUGGUGGCUGCUUGGUACGACCAAGGAGUGGUGGACCAACUUCAGAGACAUAAAUUAUUGUUUAUUGAAACUCAGGAUUCUGCUGAGACUAGUUUGGCACUAGUCAACUACAUAAAAGCUUGUAAUAAUGGUAGAGGAGCCAUUCUGCUUUCGGUGGCUCGUGGAAAGGUAUCCGAGGGCGUUGAUUUCGACCAUCACCUGGGCAGAGCUGUGCUGAUGUUCGGCAUACCAUACGUAUACACGCAAUCACGAAUUUUAAAGGCGCGUUUAGAAUAUCUUCGGGACCAGUUUCAAAUUCGAGAGAACGAUUUCUUAACCUUCGAUGCCAUGAGACAUGCCGCUCAGUGCGUGGGACGUGCGAUUAGAGGCAAGACGGACUAUGGUAUUAUGGUAUUUGCUGAUAAGAGGUUCUCAAAAACAGAUAAACGAAGCAAACUACCGAAAUGGAUACAGGAAUAUUUAAUUGAUAGUUUAUGCAAUCUAUCUACCGAAGAAGCUAUACAGAUUAGCAAAAGAUGGUUGCGACAAAUGGCACAGCCAUUUACACGUGAGAACCAGCUUGGACUGUCUUUACUGACGAAGGAACAACUCGAGAAAGAAGAGGCUGCAAAAAUCGAGGAAAAGGCACAACAAAAUUGAUAGCAAACCAAGAUAUUGCCGCAAACUAAGAAGAAAGUAAAGAGAGAAGAAGUUUUGCUUGACUCUGAGAGAGAAACAUGAAUAUACGACAUACAUUUUCCAAUAGCGUAAUCCUUUCGUCGAUUUGAGUUUGCCUCGAGAAAUUGCGAAAUUUCAACAGUAAGGUUUAUUAAGAAGGCAAUGGAAUUAAAAAAAGUUUAAUAACAAAGAAUAGCAGACUUUAACAGUAGAAAAUACAGUUAUAUACCUAC